AAAGAUGUCAUCUCCUCUGGUUCACCUAAUGUUACGUAUGAUGGACAUGCUGAUGUCAUCACUUUACAAAAUGAAUUUCAUUAUGCUUGUGAGAAGAUAGAUCAGCUUACAAGAGAAAAUGAGGGAUUACUUCAAAAAAUAGAAGAUGGUAGGGGAGAAGAAGCGCAUUGAGUUCAAACAAAUGAUACUUCGAAUAUUCGAAGAAAGGAAUGG
This 213-nucleotide long non-coding RNA is filed under the name Olea europaea (common olive). Its description in RNAcentral is "long non-coding RNA (OEUR_LNC004869)". Lineage: Eukaryota; Viridiplantae; Streptophyta; Magnoliopsida; Lamiales; Oleaceae. The record is from RNAcentral.